GCCGAGCGGUAGAGAUUCUUCGGAAUCUUGAGAGCGGCGUACGGGUGCGGAACACGUGUGCAACCUGCCUUUAUCUGGGGGAUAGCCUUUCGAAAGGAAGAUUAAUACCCCAUAAUAUAUUGACUGGCAUCAGUUGAUAUUGAAAACUCCGGUGGAUAGAGAUGGGCACGCGCAAGAUUAGAUAGUUGGUGAGGUAACGGCUCACCAAGUCUACGAUCUUUAGGGGGCCUGAGAGGGUGAUCCCCCACACUGGUACUGAGACACGGACCAGACUCCUACGGGAGGCAGCAGUGAGGAAUAUUGGACAAUGGGUGAGAGCCUGAUCCAGCCAUCCCGCGUGAAGGACGACGGCCCUAUGGGUUGUAAACUUCUUUUGUAUAGGGAUAAACCUACUCUCGUGAGAGUAGCUGAAGGUACUAUACGAAUAAGCACCGGCUAACUCCGUGCCAGCAGCCGCGGUAAUACGGAGGGUGCAAGCGUUAUCCGGAUUUAUUGGGUUUAAAGGGUCCGUAGGCGGAUCUGUAAGUCAGUGGUGAAAUCUCACAGCUUAACUGUGAAACUGCCAUUGAUACUGCAGGUCUUGAGUGUUGUUGAAGUAGCUGGAAUAAGUAGUGUAGCGGUGAAAUGCAUAGAUAUUACUUAGAACACCAAUU
Molecule: ribosomal RNA, 653 nt
Filed under: Chryseobacterium viscerum
Lineage: Bacteria; Pseudomonadati; Bacteroidota; Flavobacteriia; Flavobacteriales; Weeksellaceae
Description: bacterial SSU rRNA
Rfam family: Bacterial small subunit ribosomal RNA
Source: RNAcentral